Molecule: non-coding RNA, 333 nt
Organism: Vicia faba (fava bean)
Lineage: Eukaryota; Viridiplantae; Streptophyta; Magnoliopsida; Fabales; Fabaceae
Source: the annotation of a GenBank genome assembly
AUGUAUCUGGCUCUUCUCCAUACUGAUACUAAUGUUUCUUGGAGAACUGUUAUGUUCAACAACAUUACAAGAUCAAGGGUAAUUCACACAUUUUGGAUGGUUUGUCAUAAGAGACUUGCCACUAAAGAGAGACUGGUGCGGUUUGGUAUGCUUAGUCAUGAUGACUGUUGCUUUCGCAAGAACAUUGAAACUCAAGAGCAUUUGUUGUUCUCGUGCUCUGGUUCUAUUCAAAAUGACAAAGUUUUCCUUCGUGCCAAUUCUUGUCCUUUUCUUUAUUUUUUCAGUUAUAACAAUGACAUGUCAAGCAGACCAAAUAUGUACCACACCCCGUGA